Molecule: long non-coding RNA, 1477 nt
Filed under: Numida meleagris (helmeted guineafowl)
Lineage: Eukaryota; Metazoa; Chordata; Aves; Galliformes; Numididae
Description: lncRNA (ENSNMEG00000018368.1)
Source: RNAcentral
AUAUAGAUAUAAAAUUUUUGAGCUUAAGUGGAUUUUUUUUGAGUGUUUUAAUCUUUUCAGUUGACCUGUGUUAGAACAGUUGGAUCAGACCGGAGACUUUGAAUCAUCCAAAAUUUGUUCUGCUUUGAAGACAAACCACCCUCUUAACUGUUUACUUCUUUCUGCUUAAUGCAGUGUCAGCUGGGGGACCAGAUCUGUCUCAUUUCCUAGUAGCAUACUGAAAUAGUUUUCUAUGAGAAAUGCUGCGGUUUUUUACUGCACAAAUACAAUCCUUUGCUGAGAUUAUAAUUGUUUCCUACCAUCAGUGAUUCUUCUUUUUUCUUGUUCUACUUUCUAGGUCUCAGUAUUGUUCUGUGUCUUGGAACUGCAGGUUUGCCACAAAAGAAAAUUUGGUUGUUUCAAGAUCUGCUCUGCUCGUCCUGCUCAGGAAUGGUGGGACUGCCUUUUCAUCUGUGAAUCCUCUGCUGCUGCCUGCCUUAUUUUCACAGUGAGUCUCUCGGUCUGCUUACCACUUGAAAUAGUGCCUAACACACUUUCUCAGACCAACUAGGGAAGAAAAGAGGAGUUACCUCCAAAAGUCGAAGUAACGUGGGCUAAGCAAACCCAAAGGAGAUGGUAGAGCUCCCUGUAAAUUAUCACUUCAAUCCAAAAGAACUUGCUUUUUGUAGGCCUUUCUUUUGACCAGCCUAGUUACCAGAUAAGUAUUAAUUGUACUAGAGGAAGGAAAAUAAUUAUCUUAUUGCUCUUUGGUGAGAUAUGACUCUCUGGAUAAACAGGAGCCAUGCAUAUUGCACAUAAAUAACUUACAAGUUUAACUAUCCCUAACUUCAGGUGAACUUUUCAGCAGCUGCAGACUCGCAUGAAAGUCUUCCAGAUGCAUAUUAGAAAUCCUAAUGUGAAAGGAGAGUCAGCUACAGUUUUCUUCUCUGAAACUAUCCGGUAACUUAUUUUUCUCCCUCAAAUGUCUGUCAGAUCAUUGCUCUGUCUGAAACACUUUCUUUCCCAUCAUUAACAUAAGUAAUUGACCUUUUUAAUAAUGACAGAGAACAGAGAAGAAGUGUGGAGGGAACUCUGUAUAUCCACACAGUGGGGUUCUUGGCUGUGUCCUCAUUUAUCCUUGCAGAUGAAGUAGUUUAGAGUGUUUAGGGACAGUGAACUUAGUGGCUGUGUUUAGGGCAUGUUUGUAUUAUUUUAUAUUUUGACAACAGCAAAUACUUGGUAAAUGCCCAGUAAACUAUCCCAUUGAUUUUUCCAACCCUGACAAAGAAUCUGACUCACAUUUGCUGACUAAGCAGAUGUUCUUAUAUAUGGUUUCCAGUUGUACUUUAUAAAUGACUUUAAUUUACAGCACAUUGCACGGCUACGUCUCUAAAUCCCCAUGCAAUAAUUUGUAUCUUUAUUCUCAAUAGUUUAAUUGUUUGUGAUUGUCUUUUUUGAAGGUAACUUCUUGAUAAUUCAGUUGAACAGGUUUUUUUCC